GCAGUCGAGCGCGAAUGGAGCAAUCCUAGUAGAGCGGCGCACGGGUGCGUAACACGUGGAUAAUCUGCCUGGGUGUCUGGGAUAACCAGUCGAAAGAUUGGCUAAUACCGGAUAAGCCCCCGGGAGCUUCGGCUCCUGAGGGAAAAGGUGGCCUCUGUAUACAAGCUAUCACAUCCAGAUGAGUCCGCGGCCCAUCAGCUAGUUGGCGGGGUAAUGGCCCACCAAGGCAACGACGGGUAGCUGGUCUGAGAGGACGAUCAGCCACACUGGAACUGAGACACGGUCCAGACUCCUACGGGAGGCAGCAGUGGGGAAUUUUGCGCAAUGGGCGAAAGCCUGACGCAGCAACGCCGCGUGUGUGAUGAAGGUCUUCGGAUUGUAAAGCACUUUCGACCGGGACGAAAACCCGUUGGCUAACAUCCAACGGCUUGACGGUACCGGGAGAAGAAGCACCGGCUAACUCUGUGCCAGCAGCCGCGGUAAUACAGAGGGUGCAAGCGUUGUUCGGAAUUAUUGGGCGUAAAGCGCGUGUAGGCGGCUUUGCAAGUCGGGUGUGAAAGCCCUCAGCUCAACUGAGGAAAGUGCGCCCGAAACUGCAGAGCUUGAGUGCCGGAGAGGGUGGCGGAAUUCCCCCAAGUAUAGGUGAAAUUCGUAGAUAUGGG
Molecule: ribosomal RNA, 662 nt
Filed under: Archangium sp.
Lineage: Bacteria; Pseudomonadati; Myxococcota; Myxococcia; Myxococcales; Archangiaceae
Description: bacterial SSU rRNA
Rfam family: Bacterial small subunit ribosomal RNA
Source: RNAcentral